Molecule: microRNA, 19 nt
Filed under: Ictalurus punctatus (channel catfish)
Lineage: Eukaryota; Metazoa; Chordata; Actinopteri; Siluriformes; Ictaluridae
Description: ipu-miR-29a
Gene: ipu-miR-29a
Source: miRBase by way of RNAcentral
ACUGAUUUCCUCUGGUGUU